RNAcentral lists this ribosomal RNA (362 nucleotides) under uncultured soil bacterium. RNAcentral describes it as "bacterial SSU rRNA". It matches the Rfam family "Bacterial small subunit ribosomal RNA", at positions 26 to 388 of the family's 1533-position model. The record is from RNAcentral.
AGGACGAACGCUGGCGGCGUGCUUAACACAUGCAAGUCGAACGGUGAAGGAGAGCUUGCUCUCCGGAUCAGUGGCGAACGGGUGAGUAACACGUGAGUAACCUGCCCUUGACUCUGGGAUAAGCGUUGGAAACGACGUCUAAUACCGGAUACGAGCUUCAGCCGCAUGGCUAGGAGCUGGAAAGAUUUCGGCAAGGAUGGACUCGCGGCCUAUCAGCUAGUUGGUGAGGUAAUGGCUCAACCAAGGCGACGACGGGUAGCCGGCCUGAGAGGGUGACCGGCCACGACGUGGGACUGAGACACGGCCCAGACUCCACGGAGCAGCAGUGGGAAUAUUGCACAAGUGGGCGACGAAGCCUGAUG